This is a transfer RNA of Corvus brachyrhynchos (American crow), 73 nucleotides long. It matches the Rfam family "tRNA". Rfam says of the family: Transfer RNA (tRNA) molecules are approximately 80 nucleotides in length. The record is from Rfam. Lineage: Eukaryota; Metazoa; Chordata; Aves; Passeriformes; Corvidae.
GCCUGGCUAGCUCAGUUGGUAGAGUAUGAGACUGUCAAUCUCAGGGUCGUGGGUUUGAGCCUCACAUAGGGCA